Molecule: long non-coding RNA, 391 nt
Filed under: Homo sapiens (human)
Lineage: Eukaryota; Metazoa; Chordata; Mammalia; Primates; Hominidae
Description: HSALNT0399265
Source: RNAcentral
CCGGCCCCAUGCUUUCACUUUUAAAAAUGCUUGUAGGGCACGCAAAAAUACUAAACGGUCGAUGGAGAAGGUCUGUCUGGAGUAGUUGUUUUUUUUUUUUUUUUUUGAGACAGAGUCUCGCUCUGUCGCCCAGGCUGGUGUGCAGUGGCACGAUCUCGGCUCACUGCAAGCUCCGCCUCCCAGGUUCAGGCGAUUCUCCUGCCUCAGCCUCCCAAGUAGCUGGGACUACAGGCGCCCGCCACCACACCCGGCUAAUUUAAUUUUUUGUAUUUUUAGUAGAGACGGGGUUUCAUCGCGUUAGCCAAGAUGGUCUCGAUCUCCUGACCUCGUGAUCUGCCCGCCUCAGCCUCCCAAAGUGCUGGGAUUACAGGCGUGAGCCACCUCGCCCGGC